This 226-nucleotide ribosomal RNA is filed under the name uncultured bacterium. Its description in RNAcentral is "partial 16S ribosomal RNA". It matches the Rfam family "Bacterial small subunit ribosomal RNA", at positions 538 to 763 of the family's 1533-position model. The record is from RNAcentral.
GCGUUGUCCGGAAUUAUUGGGCGUAAAGGGCUCGUAGGCGGUCUGUUACGUCGGUAGUGAAAACUCGGGGCCCAACCCCGAGCCUGCUUCCGAUACGGGCAGACUAGAGGUAUGCAGGGGAGAAUGGAAUUCCUGGUGUAGCGGUGAAAUGCGCAGAUAUCAGGAGGAACACCGGUGGCGAAGGCGGUUCUCUGGGCAUUACCUGACGCUGAGGAGCGAAAGUGUG